GAUGAAGAACGCAGCGAAAUGCGAUAAGUAAUGUGAAUUGCAGAAUUCAGUGAAUCAUCGAAUCUUUGAACGCACAUUGCGCCCCCUGGUAUUCCGGGGGGCAUGCCUGUCCGAGCGUCAUUACAACCCUCAAGCUCAGCUUGGUAUUGGUCCCCGCCGACCCGGCGGGCCCUAAAGUCAGUGGCGGUGCCGUCCGGCUCCGAGCGUAGUAAUUCUUCUCGCUCUGGAGGUCCGGUCGUGUGCUCGCCAGCAACCCCCAAUUUUUUUCAGGUUGACCUCGGAUCAGGUAGGGAUACCCGCUGAACUUAAGCAUAUCAAUAAGCGGAGGA
This 329-nucleotide unclassified non-coding RNA is filed under the name soil metagenome. RNAcentral's name for it is "partial contains 5.8S ribosomal RNA, internal transcribed spacer 2, and large subunit ribosomal RNA". The stretch from base 1 to 120 matches the Rfam family "5.8S ribosomal RNA", at positions 35 to 154 of the family's 154-position model. The record is from RNAcentral.